UACGGGGGGUGCAAGCGUUAUUCGGAAUCAUUGGGCGUAAAGGGCGCGUAGGCGGUCUUUUAAGUCAGAUGUGAAAGCCCUCGGCUUAACCGAGGAAGUGCAUUUGAUACUAAAAGACUUGAGUAUGGGAGAGGGAAGCGGAAGUCCUGGUGUAGCGGUGAAAUGCGUAGAUAUCAGGAGGCACACCGGUGGCGAAGGCGGCUUCCUGGACCAAUACUGACGCUGAGGCGCGAAGGCGUGGGGAGCAGACAGG
This 253-nucleotide ribosomal RNA is filed under the name uncultured bacterium. RNAcentral describes it as "partial 16S ribosomal RNA". It matches the Rfam family "Bacterial small subunit ribosomal RNA", at positions 524 to 776 of the family's 1533-position model. The record is from RNAcentral.